RNAcentral lists this ribosomal RNA (468 nucleotides) under uncultured bacterium. Its description in RNAcentral is "partial 16S ribosomal RNA". It matches the Rfam family "Bacterial small subunit ribosomal RNA", at positions 28 to 507 of the family's 1533-position model. The record is from RNAcentral.
GAUGAACGCUGGCGGCGUGCUUAACACAUGCAAGUCGAACGGUGAAGGCGGAGCUUGCUCUGCUGGAUCAGUGGCGAACGGGUGAGUAACACGUGAGCAAUCUGCCCCUGACUCUGGGAUAAGCGCUGGAAACGGCGUCUAAUACUGGAUACGAGCUGCGAAGGCAUCUUCAGCAGCUGGAAAGAACUUCGGUCAGGGAUGAGCUCGCGGCCUAUCAGCUUGUUGGUGAGGUAAUGGCUCACCAAGGCGUCGACGGGUAGCCGGCCUGAGAGGGUGACCGGCCACACUGGGACUGAGACACGGCCCAGACUCCUACGGGAGGCAGCAGUGGGGAAUAUUGCACAAUGGGCGAAAGCCUGAUGCAGCAACGCCGCGUGAGGGACGACGGCCUUCUGGUUGUAAACCUCUUUUAGCAGGGAAGAAGCGAAAGUGACGGUACCUGCAGAAAAAGCGCCGGCUAACUACGUG